GGGUGAGUAACGCGUGAGAAUUUGCCCUUCAGUGAGGAAUACCCUCGAGAAAUCGAGGCUAAUACUGCAUACGUCCCUACGGGGAGAAAGGUGGCCUAUUUGCUACCGCUGAAGGAUAAGCUUGCGUACUAUUAGCUAGUUGGUGAGGUAAAGGCUCACCAAGGCGAUGAUGGUUAACCGGCCUGAGAGGGUGUACGGUCACACUGGAACUUAGACACGGUCCAGACUCC
RNAcentral lists this ribosomal RNA (230 nucleotides) under uncultured bacterium. RNAcentral describes it as "partial 16S ribosomal RNA". It matches the Rfam family "Bacterial small subunit ribosomal RNA", at positions 104 to 339 of the family's 1533-position model. The record is from RNAcentral.